UACGAGGGGGGCAAGCGUUGUUCGGAAUUACUGGGCGUAAAGGGCUCGUAGGCGGCCAACUAAGUCAGACGUGAAAUCCCUCGGCUUAACCGGGGAACUGCGUCUGAUACUGGAUGGCUUGAAUCCGGGAGAGGGAUGCGGAAUUCCAGGUGUAGCGGUGAAAUGCGUAGAUAUCUGGAGGAACACCGGUGGCGAAGGCGGCAUCCUGGACCGACACUGACGCUGAGGAGCGAAAGCCAGGGGAGCAAACGGG
RNAcentral lists this ribosomal RNA (253 nucleotides) under uncultured bacterium. RNAcentral's name for it is "partial 16S ribosomal RNA". It matches the Rfam family "Bacterial small subunit ribosomal RNA", at positions 524 to 776 of the family's 1533-position model. The record is from RNAcentral.